Molecule: ribosomal RNA, 403 nt
Filed under: uncultured bacterium
Lineage: Bacteria
Description: bacterial SSU rRNA
Rfam family: Bacterial small subunit ribosomal RNA
Source: RNAcentral
UGGGGAAUAUUGGACAAUGGGCGCAAGCCUGAUCCAGCAAUGCCGCGUGGGUGAAGAAGGUUUUCGGAUUGUAAAGCCCUUUCGGCGGGGACGAUGAUGACGGUACCCGCAGAAGAAGCCCCGGCUAACUUCGUGCCAGCAGCCGCGGUAAUACGAAGGGGGCUAGCGUUGCUCGGAAUGACUGGGCGUAAAGGGCGCGUAGGCGGACUGCACAGUCCGAUGUGAAAUUCCUGGGCUCAACCUGGGGGCUGCAUUGGAUACGUAUGGUCUUGAGUGGGGAAGAGGGUCGUGGAAUUCCCAGUGUAGAGGUGAAAUUCGUAGAUAUUGGGAAGAACACCGGUGGCGAAGGCGGCGACCUGGUCCUUAACUGACGCUGAGGCGCGAAAGCGUGGGGAGCAAACAG